Non-coding RNA from Mycena haematopus, 88 nucleotides. NCBI's taxonomy places the organism in Eukaryota, Fungi, Basidiomycota, Agaricomycetes, Agaricales, Mycenaceae. The record is from the annotation of a GenBank genome assembly.
GCACCGGUUGUGCAUGGUGCACGCGCCACUAUUGUAAAUAGGAAUGGAUGUAUUUAUGGUGAACGGGGUUCGAUUCCCCGCCGGUGCA